RNAcentral lists this transfer RNA (77 nucleotides) under Conchiformibius kuhniae. Its description in RNAcentral is "tRNA-Ile". It matches the Rfam family "tRNA". From Rfam's summary of the family: Transfer RNA (tRNA) molecules are approximately 80 nucleotides in length. Their secondary structure includes four short double-helical elements and three loops (D, anti-codon, and T loops). Lineage: Bacteria; Pseudomonadati; Pseudomonadota; Betaproteobacteria; Neisseriales; Neisseriaceae. The record is from RNAcentral.
GGGUUUGUAGCUCAGCCGGUUAGAGCACACGCUUGAUAAGCGUGGGGUCGGAGGCUCAAGUCCUCCCAGACCCACCA